CCGACUUCGAGGCCGAGAACGGCAUCGUCUUCCAGUUCUCGGGGUCCGAAGGAGCCGCUGGCGGAGCCAACAUGAUUGGAACUUACAGCUACCCCCAGGAGGACGGUUCUUUGGCCGAAGUCAAGUUCGUGGCCAACGAGAACGGCUACCAGCCCGAGUCGUCCCUCCUGCCCGUGGCCCCCGCCUUCCCCCACCCGAUCCCUCAGUUCGUCCUCGACCAGAUCGAGUUCGCACGCCUCGAGGACGAGCGCAAGGCUCUUGAGGCUGCAAGGGAGUAGCCACUUGAUGUGUCGGCAGAACAUUUCUUUAUCAGAGCAAAAAUGUCUGAUUGCUUUCGUAGACAAAAUUCGUCAUUCUUAUUCCUGCAUGGUUCAGUAUUUAUUCACACUCCAUUCCUAAUAAAAGAUAUACAUGUACUGAA
This 421-nucleotide long non-coding RNA is filed under the name Penaeus japonicus. Its description in RNAcentral is "uncharacterized LOC122245364". Lineage: Eukaryota; Metazoa; Arthropoda; Malacostraca; Decapoda; Penaeidae. The record is from RNAcentral.